AAAGAAAAGCGUCUGGACUUCUUUUCAAGUAACUUAAAGAAAACCCGACGCUUUUCUUUGC
This 61-nucleotide microRNA precursor is filed under the name Haplochromis burtoni (Burton's mouthbrooder). RNAcentral describes it as "microRNA abu-mir-10556a precursor". The record is from miRBase by way of RNAcentral. Lineage: Eukaryota; Metazoa; Chordata; Actinopteri; Cichliformes; Cichlidae.